Molecule: transfer RNA, 73 nt
Filed under: Aplastodiscus arildae (Teresopolis treefrog)
Lineage: Eukaryota; Metazoa; Chordata; Amphibia; Anura; Hylidae
Description: tRNA-Asn
Rfam family: tRNA
About the family: Transfer RNA (tRNA) molecules are approximately 80 nucleotides in length. Their secondary structure includes four short double-helical elements and three loops (D, anti-codon, and T loops).
Source: RNAcentral
UAGAAUAAAGCUCGCUGGAUAGAGUAUUUAGCUGUUAACUAAAUUAUUAUGGGAUCGAGGCCCAUUAUUCUAG